This 621-nucleotide small RNA is filed under the name Pan troglodytes (chimpanzee). RNAcentral describes it as "retained intron". The record is from RNAcentral. Lineage: Eukaryota; Metazoa; Chordata; Mammalia; Primates; Hominidae.
GCCGGGGCCGAGCCCUCCGCGACGCCACCGGGGCCAUGGGGGCCGCACGCAGCCCGCCGUCCGCUGUCCCGGGGCCCCUGCUGGGGCUGCUCCUGCUGCUCCUGGGCGUGCUGGCCCCGGGUGGCGCCUCCCUGCGACUCCUGGACCACCGGGCGCUGGUCUGCUCCCAGCCGGGGCUAAACUGCACGGUCAAGAAUAGUAAGUCAUCUUUUUCUGUUCUUCUUCUUGUUGCCUUCUUAAUCAAGUGAGAGCCUGCUGCCAACUUCUGACAGAAGUCCUGCCAUGCCACUCCAGGUUCAGGCUGUGAGCUACAGCCAUCCGCAGGAGGGUUCCCGGAGAAUUGUGGAUGCGUGCACCUGCGCUUCCUGUCGAGAACAUUCAUUAUGCAAAAGUCAGGAAAGGAGAAACAGAACUGUCAUUUGGAUUGUGAAAGUAUUCUCUGGGGUGCUGCCCUACUGUAUCUAUAAUACAAUUUGAUUUGCCACAGCUUGUCACUGUAAAGUGAGAGACAUCUGUGCUGUUGAUUUUGUUUUGUUUUAAUUCAAAGAGGCACAUAUUCAAGUGUCUGAGCCAAUUAGAGACCCCUGACAUAUAACAAUAAAGCAACUCUUACUACAACUG